GACGAACGCUGGCGGCGUGCUUAACACAUGCAAGUCGAGCGGUAAGGCCUUUCGGGGGUACACGAGCGGCGAACGGGUGAGUAACACGUGGGUGACCUGCCCUCAGCUCUGGGGAUAAGCCUGGGAAACUGGGUCUAAUACCGGAUAUGACUCCAUGACGCAUGUUGUGGGGUGGAAAGCCUUGUGCGGCUGAGGAUGGGCCCGCGGCCUAUCAGCUUGGUUGGUGGGGUGAUGGCCUACCAAGGCGACGACGGGUAGCCGGCCUGAGAGGGCGACCGGCCACACUGGGACUGAGACACGGCCCAGACUCCUACGGGAGGCAGCAGUGGGGGAAUCUUGCGCAAGUGGGCGAAAGCCUGACGCAGCGACGCCGCGUGAGGGAUGACGGCCU
Molecule: ribosomal RNA, 391 nt
Filed under: uncultured bacterium
Lineage: Bacteria
Description: bacterial SSU rRNA
Rfam family: Bacterial small subunit ribosomal RNA
Source: RNAcentral